GCCUAGCCUAUAGCCCGACUCGAAGUUAGCAUGGCCCGAUGGGCCUUAAUUAGGUUGGCCUGAGCCCAUUUUCGGUCCUACUUCUCGCAUUGAAUUCAUUUCUAGAUUUGAAUUUGAUGCAGUGAUUAUUUAAAACUUUGCUUAUUUUCUUUUUUUGGGUGCUGAUUUGUUUUAAUAAUUUAUUUGAUUUCUAUUUCAGAUUGAUUUUUAAAUUGGUAUAUUAUUGAUGUAUUUCUUUUAUUGUGCUAUAUUUUCUAUUUGAAUUAAUAUUUUUUUUGGACUUGGCAUAUGCUUUGUUUUCUUUUUUGUAUUA
Molecule: long non-coding RNA, 313 nt
Filed under: Phoenix dactylifera (date palm)
Lineage: Eukaryota; Viridiplantae; Streptophyta; Magnoliopsida; Arecales; Arecaceae
Description: long non-coding RNA (PDAC_LNC007249)
Source: RNAcentral